GGGGUGUGCUCAGGGCAGAGGGGCCUGAGGAAAUGGCUCCUCUAAACAUAACAGAGCCAACAAGAAUCUGGGUUAAUUGUGACAAGAGCACAAAACUUGUGGCCUUCUUAUGAACAGAUAGCGCCUACUUGU
Canis lupus familiaris (dog) is the source of this 132-nucleotide non-coding RNA. NCBI's taxonomy places the organism in Eukaryota, Metazoa, Chordata, Mammalia, Carnivora, Canidae. The record is from Rfam.